Molecule: long non-coding RNA, 360 nt
Filed under: Homo sapiens (human)
Lineage: Eukaryota; Metazoa; Chordata; Mammalia; Primates; Hominidae
Description: non-protein coding lnc-UBE3C-6:1
Source: RNAcentral
UUUCUUCACAAUUUCUUGUGAAUCUGUAAUUAUUACAAAAGUAAAAGUUAUGGCCAAGUGUGGUGGCUCACACCCAUAAUCCCAGCACUUUGGGAAGCUGAGGUGAGCGAUCACUUGCGGCCAGGAGUUUGAGACCUGCCUGGACACCAUAGUGAGACCCCAUCUCUAAAAACAAAAAGCAAAAGUUAAUUAAGAAAUAGGCUUGGCUUAUGGACAAUGAUAAAUAAAUAGUAACUUUAAAGAAACAUGUGGACAAACUUCCCUGUACAAUCAAAAUCUCUUCUGUCAACCUUUAUGCUCCUCACCGUAUACUCUUCAGUUUCCUGGGAAGAGCAAUGCCUUGUCCCUCUGAGUCAGUGA